Molecule: transfer RNA, 76 nt
Filed under: Serratia phage vB_SmaM-Kashira
Lineage: Duplodnaviria; Heunggongvirae; Uroviricota; Caudoviricetes
Description: tRNA-Asn
Rfam family: tRNA
About the family: Transfer RNA (tRNA) molecules are approximately 80 nucleotides in length. Their secondary structure includes four short double-helical elements and three loops (D, anti-codon, and T loops).
Source: RNAcentral
GGACGGUGAGCAUAUACGGACAUGCGAUGGCCUGUUAAGCCAAGGAUAGCUGGUUCGAAUCCAGCACCGUCCGCCA